GGCCCCGUCGUCUAGCGGCUAGGACACCACGCUUUCAAUGUGGCGACAGGGGUUCGAGUCCCCUCGGGGCCACAA
This 75-nucleotide transfer RNA is filed under the name Candidatus Parcubacteria bacterium. RNAcentral describes it as "tRNA-Glu". It matches the Rfam family "tRNA". From Rfam's summary of the family: Transfer RNA (tRNA) molecules are approximately 80 nucleotides in length. Lineage: Bacteria; Candidatus Parcubacteria. The record is from RNAcentral.